AACGAACGCUGGCGGCAUGCCUAACACAUGCAAGUCGAACGAGACCUUCGGGUCUAGUGGCGCACGGGUGCGUAACGCGUGGGAACCUGCCCUUAGGUUCGGAAUAACUCCCCGAAAGGGGUGCUAAUACCGGAUAAUGUCUUCGGACCAAAGAUUUAUCGCCUUUGGAUGGGCCCGCGUUGGAUUAGCUAGUUGGUAGGGUAAAAGCCUACCAAGGCUACGAUCCAUAGCUGGUCUGAGAGGAUGAUCAGCCACACUGGGACUGAGACACGGCACAGACUCCUACGGGAGGCAGCAGUGGGGAAUAUUGGACAAUGGGCGAAAGCCUGAUCCAGCAAUGCCGCGUGAGUGAUGAAGGCCUUAGGGUUGUAAAGCUCUUUUACCCGGGAUGAUAAUGACAGUACCGGGAGAAUAAGCUCCGGCUAACUCCGUG
RNAcentral lists this ribosomal RNA (433 nucleotides) under uncultured bacterium. RNAcentral's name for it is "partial 16S ribosomal RNA". It matches the Rfam family "Bacterial small subunit ribosomal RNA", at positions 29 to 507 of the family's 1533-position model. The record is from RNAcentral.